RNAcentral lists this long non-coding RNA (336 nucleotides) under Medicago truncatula (barrel medic). Its description in RNAcentral is "lncRNA gene21974". The record is from RNAcentral. Lineage: Eukaryota; Viridiplantae; Streptophyta; Magnoliopsida; Fabales; Fabaceae.
CCUUGAUACUGUAAUGUAAUAUAAUAGGUUAAAUAUAGCAAGACGAGUCAAGGACAAAAUAUUGGAUAGGCGGCUUCUGGGUCAAGGACAAGGGGCGCACCCUUGUAGAGGGCCAACGAGCCCUUUAUGGAAUAUUUGCGGUCCAAAUUGGUUCUAAUCUAAACCAAUAUAUCAUCUACGAGUGACUUCCUUUGUGCCAAAUAUAUUUUUUCGUACAAUAUAUAUGAUUUUAUUCAUUAAAUGCACAUGAAUUUUUUUGGCUUGACGAAAAGAAACCAUGUAAUGGGGUUCUCAAAAACAUACUCGAAACCAAUACUCUACAAUUAUUAUUCGAUU